Molecule: ribosomal RNA, 246 nt
Filed under: uncultured Spirochaetaceae bacterium
Lineage: Bacteria; Pseudomonadati; Spirochaetota; Spirochaetia; Spirochaetales; Spirochaetaceae
Description: partial 16S ribosomal RNA
Rfam family: Bacterial small subunit ribosomal RNA
Source: RNAcentral
UCUGGCGGAACUGCCGGUGGACGAAACCGGAGGAAGGUGGGGAUGACGUCAAGUCAUCAUGGCCCCUAUGUCCAGGGCUACACACGUGCUACAAUGGGCGAUACAGAGUGACGCGAAGCCGCGAGGUGGAGCAAAUCGCAGAAAAUCGCUCUCAGUUCGGAUCGGAGUCUGAAACCCGACUCCAUGAAGGUGGAAUCGCUAGUAAUCGCGCAUCAGCAUGGCGCGGUGAAUACGUUCCCGGGCCUU